Molecule: small nuclear RNA, 191 nt
Organism: Phyllostomus hastatus (greater spear-nosed bat)
Lineage: Eukaryota; Metazoa; Chordata; Mammalia; Chiroptera; Phyllostomidae
Product: U2 spliceosomal RNA
Exons: 1
Source: RefSeq, a predicted model, not a curated record
AUCACUUCUUGGCCUUUUGGCUAAGAUGAAAUACAGUAUCUGUUCUUAUCAGUUCAAUAUCUGAUACACCCUCUAUUCAAAGACAAUAUAUUAAAUGGAUUUUUGGAAUUGGGAGGUGGAAUAGGAGCUUGCUCCAUCAACUCCACACAUCGACCCUGUAUUGCAAUACUUCUGGGAACAGUACAUAUGGA